UACGGAAGGUGCGAGCGUUGUUCGGAAUCACUGGGCGUAAAGCGCGUGUAGGCGGCCCAUUAAGUCUGAUGUGAAAGCCCGGGGCUCACCCCCGGAAGUGCAUUGGAAACUGAUGGGCUGGAGUCCCGGAGAGGAGGGUGGAAUUCCUGGUGUAGCGGUGAAAUGCGUAGAUAUCAGGAGGAACACCGGUGGCGAAGGCGGCCCUCUGGACGGUGACUGACGCUGAGACGCGAAAGCGUGGGGAGCAAACAGG
This 253-nucleotide ribosomal RNA is filed under the name uncultured bacterium. Its description in RNAcentral is "partial 16S ribosomal RNA". It matches the Rfam family "Bacterial small subunit ribosomal RNA", at positions 524 to 776 of the family's 1533-position model. The record is from RNAcentral.